UACGAAAGGGGCUAGCGUUGUUCGGAAUUACUGGGCGUAAAGCGCACGUAGGCGGCCUUGUAAGUUGGGGGUGAAAUCCCGGGGCUCAACUCGGGAACUGCCUCCAAAACUGCAAAGCUCGAGGAUGCGAGAGGAGAAUGGAAUUCCGAGUGUAGAGGUGAAAUUCGUAGAUAUUCGGAAGAACACCAGUGGCGAAGGCGAUUCUCUGGCGCAUUUCUGACGCUGAGGUGCGAAAGCGUGGGGAGCAAACAGG
Molecule: ribosomal RNA, 253 nt
Filed under: uncultured bacterium
Lineage: Bacteria
Description: partial 16S ribosomal RNA
Rfam family: Bacterial small subunit ribosomal RNA
Source: RNAcentral